Molecule: unclassified non-coding RNA, 341 nt
Filed under: soil metagenome
Description: partial contains 5.8S ribosomal RNA, internal transcribed spacer 2, and large subunit ribosomal RNA
Rfam family: 5.8S ribosomal RNA (bases 1-120)
Source: RNAcentral
GAUGAAGAACGCAGCGAAAUGCGAUAAGUAGUGUGAAUUGCAGAAUUCAGUGAAUCAUCGAAUCUUUGAACGCACAUUGCGGCCAUAGGUAUUCCUUUGGCCAUGCCUGUUCGAGCGUCAUUUACACCCUCAAGCCUAGCUUGGUGUUGGGCGUCUGUCCCGCCGUUCUCGCGCGCGGACUCGCCUCAAAGUCAUUGGCGGCGGUCGUGCCGGCCCCCUCGCGCAGCACAUUUGCGCUUCUCGGAGGCCCGGCGGAUCCGCGCUCCAGCAAGACCUUUCACGACUUGACCUCGGAUCAGGUAGGGAUACCCGCUGAACUUAAGCAUAUCAAUAAGCGGGGA